CGGGAGGCAGCAGUGGGGAAUAUUGCACAAUGGGCGCAAGCCUGAUGCAGCCAUGCCGCGUGUAUGAAGAAGGCCUUCGGGUUGUAAAGUACUUUCAGUCGUGAGGAAGGUGUUAAGGUUAAUAACCUUAGCAAUUGACGUUAGCGACAGAAGAAGCACCGGCUAACUCCGUGCCAGCAGCCGCGGUAAUACGGAGGGUGCGAGCGUUAAUCGGAAUUACUGGGCGUAAAGGGCACGCAGGCGGUUAAUUAAGUUGGAUGUGAAAUCCCCGGGCUUAACCUGGGAAUGGCAUUCAAGACUGGUUAGCUAGAGUCUUGUAGAGGGGGUAGAAUUCCAUGUGUAGCGGUGAAAUGCGUAGAGAUGUGGAGGAAUACCGGUGGCGAAGGCGGCCCCUGGACAAAGACUGACGCUCAUGUGCGAAAGCGUGGGGAGCAAACAGGGAUUAGAUACC
This 451-nucleotide ribosomal RNA is filed under the name uncultured bacterium. RNAcentral's name for it is "bacterial SSU rRNA". It matches the Rfam family "Bacterial small subunit ribosomal RNA", at positions 342 to 786 of the family's 1533-position model. The record is from RNAcentral.